GCAAUAGAACUCUGGUUUUCCAGCCAGCCCGAAGCGUGAUCUCUGAGGUGCAGACGGUUGGGUUCCCCCAUCUCAGACCUAACCGUGGCUGCAGGAUUAUUAAAGGGCCAGGACUGUAAUGUUAUUUGAAGCCAGAGUAACUCCUAUACGAAUUAAAUGGCCACAAAAUAUCCAGCUGAGAACCCGUGAGGAAUGCGAGUGCCCUGAGGUUCCAGCUCUUCCGCAAGGCCAGUGGAAAGAGAUAUUUGACCAGGAAGAAUCAUCUGUAGCUGACUCCAUCUAGGUCCUAUGAGGAUGCAAGUCCCUCCUAAAGUUACCUAGUGGCACAACGUGGUGCUCAGCCUGCCACAUCCGACAAACUUUUGGUUACCAGUCCCUACAGGACUGCCUUCAAUCUCAACCACUUUAAAUACCUAAGAAUCUGCCCCUGGUUGUACACUGAGCCAAGUGUACACAUGCAGUGCAGACAUGCUCAUAGCUACCUUCCUCACUAUGGAGGUGCCGAGUCAAUGCAUUCCCAGCAAGCUGCACGCCCAGCAAGCGUGGAUUCAAUAAGCAUAAACAUAGGAACGCCACCAUUCUGUAUGGCUAAUUCAUUUAAAAAAAAAAAAAAUCUCUAGAAAGGCACAGCACGUUGCUAGCAGUGUGCUGCUGUGGAGCUGAUAGAAGUCUUGUAGUCACAUUAUCAGAAAGACAGUGUAAGGACCAGACAGAAAAAAAAUGUCUCCUCAGACCUCACUGUUGCAUGAAGCAUUCCAGCUACAGUGACAACCUACCGCUCCCUUCAGUGUUUAUACUUAUCCUGUCUUGUUCUAUCCUGUAUUGUUCUAACUCCAAACUGGAAACCAUUCAAGACUGAGAUCUCUCUCUCUGUGUUUUUGGCACAACACUCCUAUAGCCUGUAGACUCUCUAUGCUAUGUAAAUAAUAUUGGCUACAAGCCACCCUUACGAUGUGAUGCCACGUAAUUAAUACUGGUCUCAAGGCACAUAGAGAAAUCCCAGGGAUGUCAGUGGACUCUGUGCUUAGGCAGAAGGUGGCAUAUGGCCUUGAGGUUGUGACCUAGGAGGCAGCAGAUAAUACUCAAAAAUGCCCAUUUACAAAGCACUGUACAAACAUUAGUAUCGCCCAUAUCUUCUACCCCAUCGGGUUAGGUCACUAAAUAUUAUGAUCUCCAUUUUCAAGAAGGAGAAGCUAAGGUGCAGAGACAUGAAAUGACUUUCCCAAAGGCCACACAGCGAGUCAGUGGCAGAGCUGUGUGGAGUCGGUAGAGCUCAGUGAUACCUGAGUCCCAGCCCUGUGCUUAAUCCACACUAGACCCCACUGCCUCUUUAAAAGAUGAAAGUCCUCUUGACUUUUAUACCACCUACUGUGGAGGGAGCUCUCCUGACUCAUGUGUUCUGAUUACAAACCCUUGGACAUUUUGAAUAGUAGAACGCACCUUCUGUG
Molecule: long non-coding RNA, 1448 nt
Organism: Terrapene triunguis (Three-toed box turtle)
Lineage: Eukaryota; Metazoa; Chordata; Testudines; Emydidae
Exons: 3
Source: RefSeq, a predicted model, not a curated record